RNAcentral lists this long non-coding RNA (435 nucleotides) under Ursus americanus (American black bear). RNAcentral's name for it is "lncRNA (ENSUAMG00000017731.1)". Lineage: Eukaryota; Metazoa; Chordata; Mammalia; Carnivora; Ursidae. The record is from RNAcentral.
CGAACCCACAACGAUGCCCCUUGGGGGCUAGCUUUGUGGUCUUCUGCUUAGCUGCCUGGCCUGGCUCUGUACAGCCAUAGGAGAGAGGCUUUGGGAAUUCCCUUCUCUCCAUCAUGUAGGCCUGCGGUGGGGCCCUGACCGAGUGGACCAAUGUGAUUGGCUGGUCAUCACUCACACAGACAUUCCGGCAUACCACCCUCAGCGAUCACAUCCAGGUAUUGGAAGAAACGUGCAGGUACCUGGUGAGCACAAGCAAAACACAGCUGGUGGGGGACUUACUGUGCCAGAGCUUUGGCUUCCUGAAGAGCCCUCAGUCCUUCCUAAGGGCAGCUGCCAUCAACUUCAUAGGAUUAACAGCUAAGAAGCUAAGCCUGAGUCAAAUACAUGAGGAUGAUGUGGAGCUGUUACAGAAUGGUGAGUCCGAGCCUUGUCCCU